RNAcentral lists this ribosomal RNA (560 nucleotides) under Alcaligenes faecalis. Its description in RNAcentral is "bacterial SSU rRNA". It matches the Rfam family "Bacterial small subunit ribosomal RNA", at positions 40 to 591 of the family's 1533-position model. The record is from RNAcentral. Lineage: Bacteria; Pseudomonadati; Pseudomonadota; Betaproteobacteria; Burkholderiales; Alcaligenaceae.
UGGGGAGCUUUAAAUGCAAGUCGAACGGCAGCGCGAGAGAGCUUGCUCUCUUGGCGGCGAGUGGCGGACGGGUGAGUAAUGUAUCGGAACGUGCCCAGUAGCGGGGGAUAACUACUCGAAAGAGUAGCUAAUACCGCAUACGCCCUACGGGGGAAAGGGGGGGAUCGCAAGACCUCUCACUAUUGGAGCGGCCGAUAUCGGAUUAGCUAGUUGGUGGGGUAAAGGCCUACCAAGGCGACGAUCCGUAGCUGGUUUGAGAGGACGACCAGCCACACUGGGACUGAGACACGGCCCAGACUCCUACGGGAGGCAGCAGUGGGGAAUUUUGGACAAUGGGGGAAACCCUGAUCCAGCCAUCCCGCGUGUAUGAUGAAGGCCUUCGGGUUGUAAAGUACUUUUGGCAGAGAAGAAAAGGCGCCCUCUAAUACAGGGCGCUGCUGACGGUAUCUGCAGAAUAAGCACCGGCUAACUACGUGCCAGCAGCCGCGGUAAUACGUAGGGUGCAAGCGUUAAUCGGAAUUACUGGGCGUAAAGCGUGUGUAGGCGGUUCGGAAAGAAAG